GUGGGGAAUAUUGGACAAUGGGGGCAACCCUGAUCCAGCCAUGCCGCGUGAGUGAAGAAGGCCCUUGGGUUGUAAAGCUCUUUCAGCGGGGAAGAUAAUGACGGUACCCGCAGAAGAAGCCCCGGCUAACUCCGUGCCAGCAGCCGCGGUAAGACGGAGGGGGCUAGCGUUGUUCGGAAUUACUGGGCGUAAAGCGCGCGUAGGCGGCGAUUCAAGUUGGGCGUGAAAGCCCGGGGCUCAACCCCGGAACUGCGCUCAAAACUAGGUCGCUAGAGACCGGGAGAGGGUAGUGGAAUUCCCAGUGUAGAGGUGAAAUUCGUAGAUAUUGGGAAGAACACCGGUGGCGAAGGCGGCUACCUGGCCCGGUACUGACGCUGAGGUGCGAAAGCGUGGGGAGCAAACAGG
RNAcentral lists this ribosomal RNA (405 nucleotides) under uncultured bacterium. Its description in RNAcentral is "bacterial SSU rRNA". It matches the Rfam family "Bacterial small subunit ribosomal RNA", at positions 354 to 776 of the family's 1533-position model. The record is from RNAcentral.